GGGGACCCAAAAAACGGCAUAUUCCAUUUCCAAAAGAGCUACAACCUAGCGCCUCUCCCCUCUGAAUUGGGAAGUUUUCACCAGCAGCCAUGUAAAUAUAGCUUUCACCUCUCUUUCUCAAUUGAACGGCAAGCUAAAAGGAAAAUAGAUCAGCUUCUCCUUUCCCAUUUUUCGAUUUCAAAGCAAGGACACUUGCUCUCUGUUCUUCACUUUCUUCUGCUGAAGGCCGAUUCAAUUUUCCAUCCGAGGUUCGCAGUUUUAAUUUAGCUCGCGUUUUUUGCUCGAUAUUGUUGUUGUUUUCAGUUGGAAUUUUGGAGUAAAACAUUGUAUUCCUCUACUAUUAUUAAAAGAAUUUCGAAUUAACAGGUUCAUCUCUACUCCUAUGGUCUUUAUUUUGAUCUUAUUUAUGUGAGUAAAGCCUAGAUGAGCCAAUAUAGAGCAAAACAAUUAGUGAUAAUUGGGGGUUCGUCUCUUACUCCGUUCAUGAUUUCUCAUUGUCCGUAUGUAUGAAUUUUGUUGAGUUAUUCUUUGAGCUGAUCUUUACUAAUUUUACAUAGCCUUUUGUUGAGCGUAGUUUCAAAAGGAUAUUUAAGAGGACAUGUCUCAACUUUGUGCUUAUUCCAAUUAUUUCCCGUAGUCCUCCAUUCUAAUUUUAUUGUUAUGUUGUAUCUUUAAAAUUUAGAUAACUUCCAUAAAGAAAAAAAAGGAUGAGCUAUAAAUGCAAUAGAUUAAUGAUUUAGAGUGAAUAAUUUUUAUUAACACAACCUGGGUUUUAAUCGAUUUCAACAGGAUUUUGUCUUUCAAGAUGUUUGAAUUUGGCUAAUUACUUGUCUGUUGGCAGUGAAUAUAUUUUAUCUAAUAUGAUGCUUUAUCCCUCAUUAUUGCAAGUUCUUUUUCCUUUCUUUCUUAAUAGGUGACUUCAAUUAAAUAACCUUUAGCUUCAAAUAGGCCAAACGGAUUCCCUGCUAACAGGUCCAUGAUGUUAAAUGACUUCAAGAUGUAAACUUUAGCAAUUUGUAAAGUUGUAGCUAUCUUUAAUAAUUUAGUAAUACCAUUGAUCUACAAUAACAUCCAUAACUUUGGCCUUUACAAGUCAUCUCAAGUCAGUUUAGUGACAAGUUUUGAACAUCGUAGUUUGCUUUAGGUGCAUUAAUUAAAUAAUUGUCAUGGCUACGGGUACGGUUCCCGUGACGUAGUUGUGAUGCUUAAUUUCUAAAAUUCGGGGGUACAUUUAUGAGACCCGGCCAAUUUAAUCUUGUUAAUAAAAUAAAUACGUUGUGGAUUAUAGGUAUGGUUCUCGUGACAUGAUUCGCAAUGUGUAACCAAAGUAAUUAGUUGUAUGAUAAUUAGAUUAUUAAAAACGGUUAUAAAGGGAUAAAAUGCACAUAGGUUUCAAAGAUGUCUUAAAAUCUGAUAAUUAAGCCAAUAAUAAUAGUUGAGCGACCGUGCUAGAACCACGGAACCCAAGAAUGCCUAACACCUUCUCUCGGAUUAACAGAAUUUAUUACCCGGAUUUCUGUGUUUGCGGACUUUAAAACAGAGUCAAUCUUUCCUCGAUUCGGGAUUUAAACCGGUGACUUGAGACACCAUAAAUUAUCCCAAGUAGCGACUCUGAAUUUUAAUGAAAUAAUCUUGUUUCGAUUGUCACUUAAAUUGGAAAAAACUCCCUUAUACCCUUACGAGUGUAGAAAAAGGGAGGUGUGACAGCUCUGGCGACUCUGCUGGGGAUAAGAGCCCAUAAUCUCUGGUUCAAGGUUCAAGAAUUCGAGCUUAGAAUAAUUGUUAUAUUUGGCUUUAUUUAUUGUCUGAUUUUAUCUACAUGUUUGGGCCUAAUGUGCUAAAUGUUGCUUUUUACCGCUUUGAUAUUAUCUGAACUAUAUACAUAAACUUCUACGAAACCCCUCUCUUCUAUCUUCUGAGGAGUGCACGCUGGCGUGACUUCUUUCUGUUAGUGUCAUAUCCCAAUUUAGAACGAGGUUCGGACAAGUUGCAAAGCCGGAUGAUCUUUUGGUUACCGGUACGCUGCCUCCCCUCGGCUCGAGUUGUCCACUCGGAUAAGCCAGGUCUAGAACAAUACACCCAAGUUUUAAACUUAGAAUAACACAGCCUCAUGUCGGAUCCCUAGUAGGAACGCUUAUUUGCGUCACGUGCAUUUGACUUUGGGGACUCAACACAGGGGUUGGGUUCGUCUAGGACAGGUGUACCCAAAAUAACAGAUCAUCUUAAUGCAUCCUAUGUGCUACAUGUUGCACUUUUUCAAGGGUAAAAGGGUCAUUUGGCGGACCAAUGAUAGUUGAGGGCAAAUGGAAAAAGAAAAAAAAAUGAGAAAGAAAAGAGGCUGAAGUAUAAAAAUGAAGCAAGUGGGGCUCAGUUAUAAUUUUCUUGCACACCUUUUCAAAAAAACAAAAAACGUUGAAAAUGAAAAAAAAAUCCAAAAAAAAAAAGAGUUUGCAUUUUUCCGUCAUUUUUUUUAAAAGGAGAAAAAUAAAAAAAAUAGAAAAGAAAAUCCAAAAAUAUUUUACAUGUUUCAUCAUUUUCAAGGAAAAGACAAAAAAUAUAUUUUAUCUAAAUUAAUUAUUUUUUUAUUCUUGCCCGUAUCCAAUUUGCCCGAACUAUGCAUACCUGAUUCUCGUCUUUCGGGGCGUGAUACGUAGGCAACCCACAUAGGGUCUGGUCUUCCUAGUGAAUCUUAGGUUCUUGGCUUUGCGGGGUCUUAGCCAAAUUUUACACUUCUAGACACCUUUUGGUCACAUAAGUCAUUUCCAAAAAUAGCCUCAAUCAUAUCUUGCAUGUGUCUAAUAGGGAGUGUUAUUAUCUCACAUAGUGUUGGUUAAAGUUUUCUCAUACAUGUGUGGGUCUACUUACCAGAGUUUGAGCAUGACAGACGUCCCAGGACCAUCCAGUCAGGAUCACUCAUUCAGGAGUUUGCUUGAGGAGAUUUUCUUUAUGUGUUUAGUCUGUUGUUCUUUAUUUAUGUCAUCUUUUACCUUCUAGUUUUGUACAGUAAUGUCAAGUCUUUUAGGUGAUGUUAGAGUUUGUCAUAGUCUAGUUAAGUUUGCCGAGUCUUUUAUUAUUGUAUUUCUUAUUUUGUAUUUGGAAAUAUGUUACAAGUUAAAAAUCCAAAAAAAAGAGAGAAAUUUUGCUUUUUAUAUUUCCGGUAAAAGUUUUCUUUAGAAUACUAAUUCUACGAAUUAAAAAAAAUUCAUUUGAGGUGGUUUUUCCUUUAGGCAAUUAAUAGCUAGAACUCAAAAUAAAAAUUGCUAUUAUAUUUCCUUUUAGUAAAUUAAGACUAAAAAUUCAAAAAAAAAAGAAUUUUCUUUUAGUACCUCUUUAAAACUUUUCUUUAAGAUUUUAGUUCCAAAAAUCCAAAAAGACUUUCUUUGGAGGUGCUUCUUUGGGAAAUUGAUGAAAAAUGAAAAAAAAAACCUUUUCUUAGUUUCAUUAGAACUUUAGAAUAUUGUACAUAGAAUAAAAAAAAUACUUUUUCUUUGGUUUAUUUUCAGAGUUUCUUCCUUAGGUAAUCAAAAAUUUAAAUCNNNNNNNNNNNNNNNNNNNNNNNNNNNNNNNNNNNNNNNNNNNNNNNNNNNNNNNNNNNNNNNNNNNNNNNNNNNNNNNNNNNNNNNNNNNNNNNNNNNNNNNNNNNNNNNNNNNNNNNNNNNNNNNNNNNNNNNNNNNNNNNNNNNNNNNNNNNNNNNNNNNNNNNNNNNNNNNNNNNNNNNNNNNNNNNNNNNNNNNNNNNNNNNNNNNNNNNCGAGAAGACAAAAAUGAGGAUAAAGUUGUGGGACGCGAGAAAUGAGAGGAAAGAAAAGAGCGAUAGUCAGUAAGGUGCAUUACACGCAAUGUGAUAUUUUUAGUUGUUAAAUGCCCUAAUGCUAACACGAUGUCCCCAUUUUGUUCCUUUUGUUAUCUUCAUUGAGCAGAAAGGUGAUUGGUUUGUGGUUCUUAAAGUGGUAACUCUUCUCUACAACAUAAGGCCGAAAGGCAAUGACAGACGGCAACGGAAUUGAGUUGGUUGGUACUAGUGCCCAAAAGCAAUUGGUUGAACAGGGCAAUGGGUUGGUUGAAAAGGUAAGGAUGUUAAGACAACACAUUGCGGACAUGUAUCAGGCUUGGGUGAUUGGGAAGGUACCACCCCCGCCACCACCUAGCUUCCUAGAUACUAGCCUUACCCGAACUCCGGUCAUAGUACCAGAUGAUCCCCCAUACUCUCCAGAUCUACCCGCUUAUCACAGCUUUCCCAACUACCCUAGUAGCUCCAUCACUCGUCCUUCAAUUACCUUUUUCCAAAAUUGCCCUCCUGUCAUAUCCAUUAUCCCCAACAAUGAAUACCCACUCAAAGCUCAUGAUGCCCAAUAUUACCCUUCAGAGGUUGCCCACAAGGUUCUUGACUCAUACAAGCAGAACCCUCAGAAUGAGCCUCAUGCUAAAAAUGAAAAGGUCACAGGAAAAGAAGGGCGAGAUGAAAUAUCCACGAAGCUGAAAGGUAUAGAACAGUCCUUAAGGAGCAUGCAAGGGAUGAGAAAUCAGAUUCAUAUGUUCCCUGAUGUUCAUCUGCCUGCUGGGUUUAAAGUGCCAAAGUUCAAUUUGUAUGAGGGGCGUGGAGAUCUGGUAGCCCAUCUGAGGGGUUAUUGCAAGGAAAUGAGAAGUGUUGGCGAGAAAGACGAUUUGUUAAUGCUGUAUUUCAGUGAGAGCUUGACUGAGGCAGCUUUGGAAUGGCAUAAUCGUCAAGAUGUCGGUAAGUGGCAUACAUUGGGCGACAUGGCUCAAGAUUUUGUUCGACACUUUCAAUACAAAUUAGACAUUACCCCAGACCGCUCCUCCCUAUCUAAGAUGGAAAAGAAACCGGAGGAAAUCUUUAGGGAGUUUGGGCUCAGAUGGAGGGAGCAAUCUGCUCGAGUCAGUCCCCCGAUUGGUGAAGAAGAAAUAGUUGAGCUCUUCCUACAAGCCCAGGGGCCCACCUACUUCAGUCAUUUGAUUCCGACCUUGGGUAACCCUUUCAAUGAUGUGGUAAAAAUGGGGGAGAUGGUAGAAGAGGGAAUCAAGUCAGGCAAAAUCAUGAGUUAUUCGGCAUUGAAAGAUACUACGAAAGACAUUCAGAACAUCCCAGUAUGUUUUGGUAGAAGAAAGAGAAAUAGAAAAGAUGAUCCGUUGGGCAUUCCUGCUCAACGCUUUCAGCCUCGACAUCGACCCCAUGGAUAUCCUUGUGCACCAAAUGAUCCUCCCCAAUGUUACUUCUCUCCACAGAACCCCCAAAGUCGUACAUCACUUUCCCAGUACCCUAUCCACAAGGCACUACCAUAUGCUCCACACCCACGAGGCCCGCGAUGGCCCGCACCACUUCCCCAAAUGUCUUACCCGCCUCCUCAAGCAUAUCAGCCACAUGCCUGAAAAAGUUCCAACCGAGGCCAGAAUACAAACUGAAAAGACUGCUGAAAAAAGAAAAGGCUUUUACCCAUAUUGGAGAAUCAUAUGCCAGUUUGUUCCAAAGGUUGAGGCAAUUGGACAUGUUGAAGUCGAUUCAGAUAAAAAUGUCAAACCCUCUGCCAAAGAAGUUUGAUUUUUCUCAAAGGUGUGCAUAUUGCUCCGAUGCCUCGGGUCACAGUAUAGAAAAGUGUUGGCACUUGAAAAAUGCAAUUCAAAAGCUUAUUGAUGCAGGUGACAUUGUCGUGCAACAUCCAAAUGCAGCAGACACUAGCCAAAGUCUAUCGCAUGUUCGUAAUGAGACGCAUAUGGUGAGUAUGAUUUAUUUUGAAAAGGAAUAUGAGAAUUCUUCUGAGAUCCCUGGAGGUCCAUGCGCUGCAAAGCUUUCAGUGCUAUCAGAGGUUGAUCUUAAGAACGAGCCGGCAAAGGGAACCCAAAAGCAAUUUGUUAAGAACAAUGUGAUGAAGACUUGUGAAGGUCCUAGUAAUGUUGAUGCAGAAUUCAGUGGCUAAGAUGUUGAGCUUGGUGAUUGGAAAGAUGCUCCUUUCUUGGUUAGCUUAGGAGGAGUAUUGGUGGUUUAUUUUAUUGUCAUUUCUGUUGUCCGGUUUAUUUCAGGGUUGUAAUCCGGAUAUUGUCUUGUGGCUCAAACCCUUCUAUCCUUUUAUUUUGCCUGGUUUGUUUAGUCAUACUAACUCGUUUAGUGCUGUCUAGGUUUGUUUCAGGGUUGCCCAGUUUAGUGCUUGUUUUAUUGUUCAAACCCCUUCACUGUUUGUCUAAUACAAUUUUCUAUUUUCUGUUAUUUCUAGUCAUUUCUGUUUAGUUCUCUUCUCCUUUUAUAGUUCUCUUCAUGCCGGUUCUGGUGACAUGACAUGCACGCAUAAUUCUAGGCCUGGUCUUAAAGGUUAGUUUAAUUCUGAAGCAAUAAAACAAUUGUGAAGAUGAUAGGGACAUUUGAGGGAAAUAAGUAAAGGCAUUUCGAGAUCAUUUGAAGCCCGAACCAUGUGAAACUGGGGCAGAUAAUUUGGGAAGUUAAUAGGGUGACAAGAAUUCGUUAAAGGAGAGUGUAUCCCGGACAAUUUGAAGCAAGCAACUUUAAGUUCAAAUGCAUCUCAAGUUACAAAAUAAAGUCAAGGAAGUUUUCUCUAAAUUGAUGGAGGAUAUCCAUUAUGAAAAGGUAAUCACCCAAUGAGGGUUUUGUACUUGACAAGGCGCUAAAGAAGAGUGGAAGGCAUAUCAGUAAUAUCAGUGUCGAAACCGCAAAAGAAAUAUUGUGCAUGAUCUUCAAUUUUCAUUUCAAGUUGCAUGUGUUGUACUUGCAAUUUUCAAGAAUUGAGAGGCCCUCUUUCAGCUACCCAAAUACUUAUAUCAUUUGAUACCCUUUUGAGCCUGUACUAACUUCUUUGACUUCCCCUUUUUUGGAAUCGAGUUAGAGUCAUACGAAGAAAAAAAAGAUGGAAGAAUUCAUGUCCCCAUAGGUUUAUUUUACAAAGUUCAUUCCAAAAGGCAAAUUCAAAAAAAGGAGAUAAAGAAGAAAAAAAGGAAAAAGAAAGAAAAGAAAAAAGAAAAGAAAAGGAAAAGAAAAAUAACAACAACAAAACGUAUCUUUAUAAACUACGUUUGACCUGAUUCUUGUCACCACAAGAUACAUAGGCAGCCUUACGGUUCGAUCGCACCAAAUGAAAUAUUUCAUAAUCCCACGAAGUCGAGAGUGAGGUAGUCUUUCUUAUAAAUUCCACUUCAAAAAAAAACAAAGAAAAAGAGAAUCGAAUUCCAUUAUUUUAGAAAUUGGGGCAAAGUUUUUAGAAUGGAUUCCAAAAAUUAUAAAUAAAUUAACCCCGUUGUCAUAGUUAUUUUUGAGCCUUUAUGAUAUCCUUUCUUUCUAAUCCUAUCCAAACGCCACAUUACAGUCCAAAAAAAGACCUCCCAGAUAAUCUUUGAGAAUGCUGAGUUAGCCAUGCCAGGAGCAUAUGAUGUUUUUACUAUGGUCAAUGCCUUGUCAUCUACAGAAAAAAGAGAGAAAAAAAAAGAAAAAUGAGAGAGACUUAUCCGUGAAAAUUUUCACAGGCACCAUAAGGCGACGGUGAGUCGAGAGAAAUAAUAAAAUAAGAGAGAAUUGAUAGUGAAAAUCCUUCGGGCACUACAAGUCGAAUAAGGAUCGGGAAUCGGAUUGGAUAAUUGGAGCAUUGAAGCCUAGUUUCACAGCUUAGGGGGUAUAACAAGAGUUGAACAUCAAUCUUACUUGACAGAUUAGGCCACUUAAGCCAAAGGUGCAUGUCAUGGUCGUUAGAGUUGGUAUCCAUAUCUGAUAGGUUUCUACUUGUAGUUUCUUGUUAUUAAUCAUCCCUUUCCAUUGUCCUUUACUCUAGUCCUUUUGUCUUGUUUACUUCAUCUUCCUGAGUCUGUUUGGUCAGAACAAGUGAGAAAUGACUACAAAAUUUGCCACAAUGCUUUCCAAUUGCACAAAAUGGGAUCUGGCUAGCACAUCAAAGUAUCAUAAGUUAGGAAAGAACAGCAAGCACGCUGAGUUGAUAACAAUCAACGUGCUUUGAGAUUCAUGUAAAAUACAAAGGAUCGGUAUAUGUCAAUUCAUGAACAAUGCAACAGAUAGAGUGUUGGUUUGGAACAGAUCAAAGGUAUUUUCUGUGAUAAGAUUGAUAAAGAAAGUGGUUAACCAGUGACAAGUAAGGUCUUCCAAGUGGAAAUCAAAGUUAUCAUGGCAAGUGAAGGAGCAAUAGACCUCAAGGCCAAGUGUUUUAAGUCAGGAAAGAACAACAUGCGCACUGAGUGGAUGGCAAUUGAUGUGCUUGGGAUUCAUGUGAAACACAAAGGUUCAGUACAUGUCAAUGCAAGAGCAUAAUGCAACAAAUGAAUGGUAUUGGGUUUGAACGGAUCAGAGGUAUUUUUCGUGAUAAGGGUGACAGAGAAAGUAGUUAGUUAAUAAACAAGCAAGGUCUUUCGAGUGGAAAUCAAAGUUAUCAUGGGAAGUGAAGGAGCAAUCGCCCUCAAAGUCAAGGCCAUAAACAAACCACCAUAUUUAUAAACUCACAAGUUCUCUUUGUUUGAAACAGGGACGAAAAUUGUGUCCAAAUCAAAGCUUGGAAGUUUGAAUUUUUUCAAGUGUCGUGCCUAAAUUUUGUCAGCACAAAGGCGGUUUGAGAAGGGGAAAGAAAAAUUUGUUCGAUAUACAAGAACCCUCCAUGAGGAAAAGCGUGGUUCAGGGGAAAGGAAUUUUGUUCAGUCUAUAGAGAUCCUCCAGGAAGAGAGUACGACUCAGGUAAGUUCAUUCUCGGCUUUUCAUGACCCUCAUGGAUAAUGGGACUUAAUUUAAAAUUUUAAGGACCCUCCUAGAUAAUGAGACUUAAUUUAAAAUUUUCAGGACCCUCCUGGAUAAUGGGAUUUAAUUUAAAGUUCUCAGGACCCGGAUAAUGGGAUUUAGUUUUAAGUUUUUAAGACCUUCAUAGACAAUAAGAUUUAGCGUAAGUUUUACCUUUAGGAAAUAGAAUUUAGCUUUGAAGUUGUCACUCUUGAGAUGAGAUUUAAUUUUUAAUUUUUAGGACCCUCCUGGAUAAUGGGAUUUAGCUUUUAAAUUCUUAGAGCUUUUGGGUACUAUGAUCCGAUUAACACUCACAGAUGUUCCUGAUAUCAAACUGAGGCAGAAAAAUUUCUUUUAUUUGUUUGUUUUGUUGUAGUCAGGUUCACAAGCAGCAGUUUCAGAGGGGUCAGUUUAAGUGUUGGAAAUCAGAAGAACAAAGGGAAGCAGUCCAAGUUUCAAGGGAAGCAAUUCAAGUUUCAAUGAAAAGCAAUGCAAGUGUUUAGUAAUCAGGAGCCCACCUAAAGAACAAAGGAAGGCAGUUCAAGUUUCGAGGAAAAGCAGCGCAAGUGUUGGUAAUCAGGAGCCCACCUGGAGAACGAAGGGGAAGCAGCAAUGACCAAAGGAAGAUAGCAAUCAGGAGCCCACCUGAAGAACGAAGGGAAGUAGCAAUGUUCAAAGGAAGAUAGCAAUCAAGAGCCUGCCUGGAGAACAAAGGGAAGUAGAAAGGUUCAAAGGAAAUUCGGCAAUCAGGAGCCUACCUGAAGAAUAAAGGGAGAACAAGGCAAGUUUCGGAGUAAAGAAAGAUAAUUCAAAUGCUUGAAAUUAGGAACCCACCCGGAGAACAAAGGGAAGGAAACAAUGGUCAAAGGAAGACGGUUCAAGUUCAGCAAUCAGGCGCCUACCUGGAGAAUAAGAGAAUUCACUUCAGAAUACAAUUCAAGUUAGCAACAAAAGAAUCUCACGGCAAGAAUGCGAGUCAACAAUCUGAGGUGAUCAACAGAAGUUAAUCACAAUAAAGAAAAAAGAGAAAGGCAAGAAGUGAAUCCGGACGCAGAAGUUGAUGAAAAUGUGAGUUGCUCAAGAUAUGGUUGAAGUCACAAGCAUGGUAUGUCUGGUCUUGAUCCGAAAAGCUGAAGAAGGAUGAGCUAGCACCUGCAACUAGCAAGCAUUAAGGUUCAAAUCUAAAGUCCGCAUGAAGAACCACUAAAAACUCAAGAUCAAGCUUCAAAAGACUUAUAGAUAGGAAUCUUGUAACUCGUAGUUGAUAGGCUUAGCUAGUCUUUUUCAUGUUUUGAUUUUUGAUGUAAUAACAGGACCACAGACUAGAACCUCGGCGGAAUGGCACCUCGACCGGCUCUCCACCUCGGUAUACUCCAUCAUUUCACUCACCUCUGAACUACACGUGGCCUGAUUCCUUUAUAGCCAAGGAUAUGUAGGCAGCUCAGAUAGCAGGGCUCGGUCACAUUCCCCUUUUCUCUUAGUUUUGGUCUCCUUAAAUAAGGGUCGGGUCAAAAAACCUGUCUAGUUGUUCUUUGUUCGAAAACUCUUCGCGUUUCCAGUCAAAGAGGGGCAGCUGUAGACAUGUGAUUUUUGACCCUCCCCAAGAUUUUUUAUAUUUUAGCAUGUAAAUAUUUAAUUUAGGCCUAAUAUAGAUAUUUCAACUAAUUCUUACUCUUUUACUUUAUUUUAUUACAAGAAAAUGAAAAUUUCAAAAAUAGUUUCAUUAAUAUUUUGUAGUCAUUUUUAAUCUUGAAAAAUACCAAAAAUAGUUUUGUUUUAACAGUCAGUCUUAUUUUAAUAGUUAUUUUACUUAAGUAGGAUUAAUUAAUAAAUGAGAUCGUAUUUUUAGUCUCGUUCGCGGGGAAAGAAUAAACUUGGGCUCGAGCUACCCAUUUUUUAGGCCUAAUUUUGGACCUAACCCAUAAUUCUCAAGCCCAUAAUUCCUAGGCCCAUACCCCUAACCUAAAAAACCCUAUAAAACAAUUAGACCCUAGACCUAAGGGCGGGGGGACCCAAAAAAAUGGCAUAUCCCAUUUCCAAAAGAGCUACAACCUAGCGCGUCUCCCUUCUGAAUUGGGAAGUUUUCACCAGCAGCCAUGUAAAUAUAGCUUUCACCUCUCUUUGUCAAUUGAACGGCAAGAUAAAAGAAAAAUAGAUCGGCUUCUCCUUUCCCAUUUUUUGAUUCCAAAGCAAGGACACUUGCUCUCUGUUCUUCGCUUUCUUUUGCUGAAGGCCGAUUCAAUUUUCCAUCCGAGGUUCGCGGUUUUGAUUUAGCUCACAGUUUCUGCUCGAUAUUGUUGUUGUUUUCAGUUGGAAUUUUGGAGUAAAACAUUGUAUUCCUCUACUAUUAUUAAAAGAAUUUCGAAUUAAUAGGUUCAUCUCUACUCCUAUGGUCUUUAUUUUGAUCUUAUUUAUGUGAGUAAAGCCUAGAUGAGCCAAUAAAGAGCAAAAUAAUUAGUGAUAAUUGGGGGUUCGUCUCUUACUCCGUUCAUGAUUUCUCAUUGUCCGUAUGUAUGAAUUUUGUUGAGUUAUUCUUUGAGCUGAUCUUUACUAAUUUUACAUAGCCUUCUGUUGAGCGUAGUUUCAAAAGGACAUUUAAGUGGACAUGUCUAAACUUUGUGCUUAUUCCAAUUAUUU
RNAcentral lists this long non-coding RNA (11371 nucleotides) under Nicotiana tabacum (common tobacco). RNAcentral's name for it is "long non-coding RNA (NTAB_LNC015482)". Lineage: Eukaryota; Viridiplantae; Streptophyta; Magnoliopsida; Solanales; Solanaceae. The record is from RNAcentral.